This 464-nucleotide ribosomal RNA is filed under the name uncultured bacterium. RNAcentral's name for it is "partial 16S ribosomal RNA". It matches the Rfam family "Bacterial small subunit ribosomal RNA", at positions 28 to 507 of the family's 1533-position model. The record is from RNAcentral.
GACGAACGCUGGCGGCGUGCCUAACACAUGCAAGUCGAGCGAAUGAAGUUUCUUCGGGAAUGGAUUUAGCGGCGGACGGGUGAGUAACACGUGGGCAACCUGCCUCAUAGAGGGGAAUAGACUUCCGAAAGGGUGAUUAAUACCGCAUAAGAUUGUAGUAUCGCAUGAUACAGCAAUUAAAGGAGCAAUCCGCUAUGAGAUGAGCCCGCGGCGCAUUAGCUAGUUGGUGAGGUAAUGGCUCACCAAGGCGACGAUGCGUAGCCGACCUGAGAGGGUGAUCGGCCACAUUGGGACUGAGACACAGCCCAGACUCCUACGGGAGGGAGCAGUGGAGAAUAUUGCACAAUGGGGGAAACCCUGAUGCAGCAACGCCGCGUAAGUGAUGACGGCCUUCGGGUUGUAAAGCUCUGUCUUCAGGGACGAUAAUGACGGUACCUGAGGAAGAAGCCACGGCUAACUACGUG